ACCAUUUCAGCAAACAUAAACAAUGUUGGGUUUUUUUUUAUAUAUAUAUAUAUACAAGUUAAAUAAUGUUAAAUUCUGGAACCAUCAGUUGAAAAGUAAACUUUGGAAAUAGCCAUGUCUGUCCUUUUGAAAUAUGGAUUCAGAAAGUAGGCCUUUCUAAAUGAUUCAUGCUUUCUUUGUGGAUUGGAGACUCUGGCUUCAGGAUUCAUUCAAAAACCUGAAGACUUAAUGAAAGCAAGAAAUCUAAACUAAAAUUUUACCCUCAGAUUAGAGAAAUCCACAAAAACUCCACAGUCACUGAAAUAUCAUAAAGGGCUACAGAGAAGGAGAGGCAAGAAGAGGAGAUGCGACACUUUCUACAGCUUCCAGUUUGCAAGUCUCACGAGAAUGAACAAGUUUGAGAUGAAACAACGCGGAAGAUGUGAAGCGAGUCCAGCCGGCGUGCUCGUGCCUAAGAAUAUUCUCCAGAAUCUCUGCUUUAAAUUCGGGUCAGCCACACUGUCUUUAAUCUACAAAUCAUCAGAAUCAAGUUAAACCUGACUAAGAGCCUGACUUUGUUUUUGGGAUUUGGUGUCCAUUCUCUUCCCCUCCAUCUUAAUGCUGAAAAUCUCGUUUAGAGGAAUUCUUCUUCUUCUUAUUUUUAAAACAAGCAAAUGUCUCCAAAACAGUGGAGCUGAGAGGAAAGCUAACACUCCAGCCGUAAAGGACUGGAGGUCGCUGAGAGGAAGUGUCGUCUGUGAUCCCCUUCAGCUGGGCCUUCCCUUCAUUUAGCUUCACUAUUCAUUACUGACCGCUGUAAGAGGACAUGGCUCAGGGCUGAUGUCAGGAUUAGAUCUGCUGAUGACCGCUCCCUCCGCCCCCUCCACCCCCUCCACCACCUCUCCUAGCCGGGGACUCGCAUCCACCGGCUGUUGUUAUUUUCUUCCUGCUGAAGUGAUUGCAGCUUAAAAAUUACCAGCAUGCAUAAAGUAACCAUGUGUAGUACGGAGAGAGAGAUACUAAAUAAAAACACAAAAUAACAAAA
Long non-coding RNA from Xiphophorus couchianus (Monterrey platyfish), 1024 nucleotides. RefSeq lists it as uncharacterized. The record is from RefSeq and is a predicted model, not a curated record. The transcript has 3 exons. NCBI's taxonomy places the organism in Eukaryota, Metazoa, Chordata, Actinopteri, Cyprinodontiformes, Poeciliidae.